GAUGAACGCUAGCGACAGGCCUAACACAUGCAAGUCGAGGGGCAGCGGGGAGUGGCAACACUCCGCCGGCGACCGGCGCACGGGUGAGUAACACGUAUGCAACCUGCCCGUCACAGGGGGAUAAUCGAGAGAAAUCUCGUCUAAUACCGCAUACACUCUUCGGGAGGCAUCUCCGGGAGAGGAAAGACUAAUUGGUGACGGAUGGGCAUGCGGGACAUUAGCUAGUUGGCGGGGUAACGGCCCACCAAGGCGACGAUGUCUAGGGGUUCUGAGAGGAAGGUCCCCCACACUGGUACUGAGACACGGACCAGACUCCUACGGGAGGCAGCGGUGAGGAAUAUUGGUCAAUGGGCGAGAGCCUGAACCAGCCAAGUCGCGUGAGGGAAGACGGUCCUACGGAUUGUAAACCUCUUUUGUCGGGGAACAAAAGGCGCCACGCGUGGUGUAUAGGGUGUACCCCGAAGAAAAAGCAUCGGCUAACUCCGUGCCAAGCCGCCGCCGUAAC
RNAcentral lists this ribosomal RNA (505 nucleotides) under uncultured bacterium. Its description in RNAcentral is "bacterial SSU rRNA". It matches the Rfam family "Bacterial small subunit ribosomal RNA", at positions 28 to 524 of the family's 1533-position model. The record is from RNAcentral.